Molecule: ribosomal RNA, 252 nt
Filed under: uncultured microorganism
Description: partial 16S ribosomal RNA
Rfam family: Bacterial small subunit ribosomal RNA
Source: RNAcentral
UACGUAGGUCCCGAGCGUUGUCCGGAUUUAUUGGGCGUAAAGCGAGCGCAGGCGGUUCUUUAAGUCUGAAGUUAAAGGCAGUGGCUUAACCAUUGUACGCUUUGGAAACUGGAGGACUUGAGUGCAGAAGGGGAGAGUGGAAUUCCAUGUGUAGCGGUGAAAUGCGUAGAUAUAUGGAGGAACACCGGUGGCGAAAGCGGCUCUCUGGUCUGUAACUGACGCUCAUGCACGAAAGCGUGGGGAGCAAACAGG